CUACGUGCCAGCAGCCGCGGUAAUACGUAGGGCGCGAGCGUUGUCCGGAAUUAUUGGGCGUAAAGAGCUUGUAGGCGGUUUGUCGCGUCUGCUGUGAAAGGCCGGAGCUUAACUCCGUGUAUUGCAGUGGGUACGGGCAGACUAGAGUGCAGUAGGGGAGACUGGAAUUCCUGGUGUAGCGGUGGAAUGCGCAGAUAUCAGGAGGAACACCGAUGGCGAAGGCAGGUCUCUGGGCUGUAACUGACGCUGAGAAGCGAAAGCAUGGGGAGCGAACAGGAUUAGAUACCCUGGUAGUCCAUGCCGUAAACGUUGGGCACUAGGUGUGGGGAACAUUCCACGUUUUCCGCGCCGUAGCUAACGCAUUAAGUGCCCCGCCUGAGGAGUACGGCCGCAAGGCUAAAACUCAAAGAAAUUGACGGGGGCCCGCACAAGCGGCGGAGCAUGCGGAUUAAUUCGAUGCAACGCGAAGAACCUUACCAAGGCUUGACAU
This 490-nucleotide ribosomal RNA is filed under the name uncultured bacterium. RNAcentral describes it as "bacterial SSU rRNA". It matches the Rfam family "Bacterial small subunit ribosomal RNA", at positions 501 to 987 of the family's 1533-position model. The record is from RNAcentral.